CAGAAACUAGUUUAUUAAAACAGUUAUUUUGGGUAUAACAGAUACAGACAACCUUAUUAAUUCUGUGUUUCUGA
This 74-nucleotide transfer RNA is filed under the name Cercodemas anceps. Its description in RNAcentral is "tRNA-Pro". Lineage: Eukaryota; Metazoa; Echinodermata; Holothuroidea; Dendrochirotida; Cucumariidae. The record is from RNAcentral.